UGGAAAGCACAGGGAUCGUAAGACCUCGCGUUAAUGGAGCGGCCGAUGCCGGAUUAGCUAGUUGGUGAGGUAAAGGCUCACCAAGGCGACGAUCCGUAGCUGGUCUGAGAGGACGACCAGCCACACUGGAACUGAGACACGGUCCAGACUCCUACGGGAGGCAGCAGUGGGGAAUUUUGGACAAUGGGCGCAAGCCUGAUCCAGCCAUUCCGCGUGAGUGAAGAAGGCCUUCGGGUUGUAAAGCUCUUUCGCAAGGAAAGAAAACUUAUCUCCUAAUACGAGGUGAGGUUGACGGUACCUUGAUAAGAAGCACCGGCUAACUACGUGCCAGCAGCCGCGGUAAUACGUAGGGUGCGAGCGUUAAUCGGAAUUACUGGGCGUAAAGCGUGCGCAGGCGGUUUGUAGUCAGAUGAGU
RNAcentral lists this ribosomal RNA (415 nucleotides) under uncultured beta proteobacterium. RNAcentral's name for it is "bacterial SSU rRNA". It matches the Rfam family "Bacterial small subunit ribosomal RNA", at positions 200 to 597 of the family's 1533-position model. The record is from RNAcentral. Lineage: Bacteria; Pseudomonadati; Pseudomonadota; Betaproteobacteria.